This 773-nucleotide long non-coding RNA is filed under the name Phasianus colchicus (ring-necked pheasant). RNAcentral describes it as "lncRNA (ENSPCLG00000005469.1)". The record is from RNAcentral. Lineage: Eukaryota; Metazoa; Chordata; Aves; Galliformes; Phasianidae.
CAACAGAUCUCAAAUGUUUAUAACUUACAGGAAGAAUACCACGGGUCCAGAAGUCUCCUCCCAGUUUGAGGAGGAAGGAAAAAAACAGCUUGGAUCUGUCAUUUGCCACUUGCCACCAUGACGUCAGCUCGGGGCUGAACUCCCUACCUGUGGCAGGGACCUUAAAUGAGCUGACGCUGGAAAAGAAAAGCACUUCAUCUCAGGUUUAGCGAGGAGUAGCAGCAGCAGCAGAGGCAGCAAUGGGACGCUCUAUGUUCUUCACUGUGCUGCUUUGCUUGGUGUUGAGCCUUUCAGAAGCUACCACACCUGCAACAACUGGGAGCAGUUCUACCAUCACUACAGUACUAACAACAGAUGGAAACGUAUCGACAACAACUGAGAACACUACUGCCGACAAUUCUUCAUCAGCAACACCAGGUAAUUAUGAAAAGUCCCUUCAUCAGCCCUUUACGAGAGGGUUAGACCAUUUCUAGGAACGGCAGAGGCCAGAGGCAGCACUGUGUCCCCCUGUCCAGAGGGCAUGCCCUUGGAGGAACUGCAGGGAGUUGUUGCUGUGGUUCUUUGGAGCAUGGUCAGGGAAGGAGGUAGGGACUUGUCCUCCCUGGUCAGGCCCCAUGCCAUGUCUUUUUAGUAUGUAUAUGCAGUUACAGAUGUAGGUGUUGUGGACUACUUCUACAUAGUACUGCAGAGCAGGCCAUCAUCAGGAGCUGGGUGAUCUUGCCAGCUCUGUCAGCUGGUACUGGCCAUGCAGAACAUCAUGCACUCUGAAGGAG